GAUGAACGCUGGCGGCGCGCCUAACACAUGCAAGUCGAACGGUUAAAGCACCUUUUAGGUGUGUAUAAAGUGGCGAACGGCUGAGUAACACGUGGGCAACCUGCCCUCCUCUUGGGGAUAGCCUCGGGAAACCGAGGAUAAUACCCGAUACUUCAAUGUGGCCGCAUGACGACAUUGAGAAAGCUUUUGCGGAGAGGGAUGGGCCCGCGGCCUGUUAGCUUGUUGGUGGGGUAGAGGCCUACCAAGGCAAUGAUGGGUAGCUGGGUUGAGAGACCGACCAGCCAGAUUGGGACUGAGACACGGCCCAGACUCCUACGGGAGGCAGCAGUGGGGAAUCUUGCACAAUGGGCGAAAGCCUGAUGCAGCGACGCCGCGUGCGGGACGAAGGCCUUCGGGUUGUAAACCGCUUUCAGCAGGGACGAGGCGAUAAGUGACGGUACCUGCAGAAGAAGCCCCGGCUAACUACGUG
RNAcentral lists this ribosomal RNA (469 nucleotides) under uncultured bacterium. Its description in RNAcentral is "partial 16S ribosomal RNA". It matches the Rfam family "Bacterial small subunit ribosomal RNA", at positions 28 to 507 of the family's 1533-position model. The record is from RNAcentral.